Nicotiana attenuata is the source of this 797-nucleotide long non-coding RNA. RefSeq lists it as uncharacterized. Lineage: Eukaryota; Viridiplantae; Streptophyta; Magnoliopsida; Solanales; Solanaceae. The record is from RefSeq and is a predicted model, not a curated record. The transcript has 3 exons.
AAUCCUACCCAAAAGCCCCAAAAUAUUAAAUCCCUAAACCAGUAAACCUUUCCUAGUUCUUCCUCGCUCAAACGCAGAAGCUCCUCUCAACCAUCACUCCUCACUCCAAAAUAGAGAACCAUUCUUCCUCAAUCUCAAUUCCUCUCAUUUUUUUGAAAAAGUAGCGGGCAUCGAAUCUUUGAUCAAUUGGGGAGUCUGAUGAAAUCGAAGUUUGUGUUCGCGGGUCAAUUGGGGAGUAUGAUGAAAUCAAAGCCAACUGAAAAGUCAUUCAAAGACUCGAGAACAACUACUUCAGCAAUUGAGAAGUCAUUCAAUCUCCAUGGAUAUCAAAGUUGAGGAACAACUUGAAACAAUUCAAGACUUGAAGGAAAUCAAAGUUGAUGACUCAAUGAACAAUGAAAUUAAGAAGGUAGAUGACUCAAUAAGCAAGCUGGAAAUUCUGAACGUUGGUGACUCCAGAAAAGUUCAAGAUUUUCUUUUGAUUUAAACAAAUUUCCCGAUGAAAGCGAAGCAGCGAUUGAAGAUGAAGAUCUACAACAAGUAAUUAGGACUAUGUUGAAAAUAUAUCUUCCUACAAAGGAAUGUUUAGAUCAAUUUGAAGUGGAGAAAUUUGGUGCUUUUCCAUUUUAGCCAUGUUUAACAAUAACCUGGAAAUUGAGCUUCCUUUAAAAAGAUAGUUUUGGUGGCAAAAAUUUGCUCCAGUUUGUUUUUUCAAAGACGUUCUUAAAAUUUUAGCAAAAGUUUCAAAUUUUAUUUUGAAUAAUGUAGUGAUAUGAGAAGAGAAGUAAAUGCCACUA